Long non-coding RNA from Onychomys torridus (southern grasshopper mouse), 1590 nucleotides. RefSeq lists it as uncharacterized. The transcript is spliced from 3 exons. Lineage: Eukaryota; Metazoa; Chordata; Mammalia; Rodentia; Cricetidae. The record is from RefSeq and is a predicted model, not a curated record.
GCAAUGGUGCACGGCCGGCUUUAAUUUUUUUUUUUUUACGCUGUUCCCCAGCUGUCUUUCCCUCGUUAGCCGCCCCACACUCGCACGUGGGUCUCCACCUGGUGUCCCAGUCGCCUCGAGCAGCCCGCCUCUGCGCUCACCAGGAGAGUCCCCCCCACAACCCCCCGGCGCGCACAGGCCCCACCCUCUUCGCCUGGAGGCUCCGUCUUGCUUGGCAGACCAAGGUGGCGCGUGAAGCCUCACGGGAGUUGUAGUUUUUCCCCUUUCCCCAGCUCGGAACGCCGGUUGCAAUCCCUUGGAAAAGCACCUCCCCAAGGCUGGUUGUUCCCUGAUGCCCCGUCCCUUUGCUUCUUAAUUGUGCUGCGCCGUGGUAGUUCCCUGCAUUAAGGUAAACAAGGAAUGUCGAGAGGAACAACGUGUACCUGUUUGGUGCUUGACAGUUUACGAGUCGUUUUCUGUCAUUUCAUCUAUCCUGUGAGCGAGGUGAUUGGCCUAUAGGUUGCAGCUAAAACUGUCCAGCAUUGGUUGUUUCACACUCGAGAGGCAGAGGAUCCUGUAAUUGCUCAGUUCACACAACUGAAUGUCUCAGCAGCCCCAGGAUAGCACCGAAGGCCUCGAGGGUUCCUGGAGAAUGGCUUGUCUUCGGUAUACAAUGGAAGUUUCUCCUGAUACUAGUGAAGGAAUGUACCAGCUACAGGAUAGAUGAACUUCCCAGCUUACAAGUCAGCUGGGAUGAGGAUACCAAGAGAACUGCCUAAUGGAAGGAAUCUGUUUGCUUCUAACUUAUGCCAUGAACAACCUCAGCACACAGAUCAAAGCCCAUGGGAACUUGUACUGCCCUAAAGCCAUCUGCAGAACAGAAUUGGUGAGAGAUAUCUAAGAGACAUUUACUGUACUCCUUUAAAAGGCCAUAUUAUCAAAUCCCUUUGGGCAAUGUUCUCUGUUCCAUCUGACUUUGGGAUUCAAGCUGCAGAGAGAAAAAUCUCUGAAACUCUGAAAAUGCUGUCUCUUUCACCUACCCAAGUUUGGAAACUUGGUUGUUGAUAGAAACUUCCGUUGAGAUAAAACCUAUUCUCAUCACUCACAACACACUUGGGAAAUGCUGGAACAAAGCAGGUCUCAGCGGUGGUCCUGACUCUGCCGAAGUUUGCAGUUUGGCUUUUCUUUGAACUUCCAUUCCCUCAUCUGCAAAACAAGAGAAUUAGAAUCAAUGAUUGAGGGGAAAUGAUUAUGCUUUAUACAUACCUGCUCCAGGCAACACAUGGUUAUGCCACCAGACCGUAAGAGCCCUAUACUUUAUUUGUGCACUAGUUUAUCUGCUUUAUCUGUGUGGGGGGUGUUAUUUUAGUAUAUGCAUGUAGAUGCCAGAGAUCAGCAUCAGGAGUUUGCCUCUAUGGGUCUCUCCCUUCUUUCUGCCAACUUUUUAGGGACAGGGUCUCUCACUGAGCCUAAGGCUUAUUGAUUCAGCUGUUGGGAUCUGCCUGGCUUUGGCCUCAGAAUUACAGGUACACACUGCCUCACACAGCAUAUGGGUCUGGAAAUCUGAACUCAGCUCCUCACGCUUAUGCAGCAAGCACUUGCCCCUUUCUU